RNAcentral lists this long non-coding RNA (5332 nucleotides) under Hordeum vulgare. RNAcentral's name for it is "long non-coding RNA (HVUL_LNC011314)". The record is from RNAcentral. Lineage: Eukaryota; Viridiplantae; Streptophyta; Magnoliopsida; Poales; Poaceae.
UCGCCACCGUGGCCGUGCUGUGCCUGCUCAUCGCCGGCCGUGCGGACGGCCAGGACGAGUACAUCCCUGCUGCCGCGGGGAGCCAAGAGGUGGAGCCGCAGCCGGGGCUGCUGCCGGGGGCCUCCCUGGCCAAGGCGUUCACAGGCGGCUACUUCCCGCAGCAGCCCAAGGCCGAGCCAGAGCCGGAGCAGACGACCACGGAACCGGAGCCGGAGCCGGAGCAGACGACCAGGGAACCGGAGCCGGUCACGCCCACGCGCGACCAGGGCGAUUUCUACCGCACCGGCGUGACCCCGACCGCGCCGGAGCCGCCGGCGAUGCUAACCUCCCCGGAGACGUGGGAGAAGCCAUGGACGCCAUUUGUACCGCAGACGUCGGCGUUUGUUCCCAAGACGCCGGCGUAUGUGCCCAAGACGCCAUAAUUACCAUGGGCCUUAAAAUUAUUCCCUCCAUCAUGGUUUAAAAGCGCGUGUUUGAAAAUUCUCUCGAACCUAUGUGGUUAUUGAUUGACUGUGAGAUGGACAGAAAAAUAGCAUUCACAAUCGCAUGCAUAUAAAAGUAGUACUACAACGGAAUACUAAUUAGCUGCUAAGAGUAAAUGCAAUGCGCCUUAAACCUUGUUUAUUAUGGAAAUGAACGUAAAUUUAACCGUGCCUUCUAAACUGUGACGAAGGAAAUACAGACGAUGUAUCGAGGCUGAUGGGUCUUUUAAACCCGAACGAAAAUAGUAUUUAAUAGGUCUAAUCAUAGAAUAUACAUGUGCAUCAUCAUCACAUCAGUACCAAUAGUAACAUAAAACAUGACCUACAAAGAUAGACGAUCAUGAGGCAACACGAUAGAGAGAUGGAACUACUCCUCCGGUUUAGCAACAAUGAAACCGAGAAAGAUAAAUCUCCCAUCACGUCCAUGGCGGAGCACGAAGAUCAUCAUGUCUUCAAUAUCUAUGUCGUACAUACGACUACUUUGCUCCACCCAUUAAGAACUAUGCUUCCAUCUCCUUGUCACGAAUACGAGUAUGAAGUCGAACCGAGAUGUUAACACUAGGAUGGAACACAAUGGUUAUAGCUCUUCAUUUGCACUCAUCUCCUUAGGCACAGUAUUCACUCUGUAAUAAGCUAUCAAAAUAUUUGUAAAUAAGGUCACUUAAAUAUAGCAUCCGGAUGAAAUGUGAUUAUUUAAAUCUAGCUGUAAAUAUGGUUACUUAAAAUUAAUUGCUGGAUAUUUGCCAGAAUCAUUACACGGAUGAGUUAUUGUAUAUCACUAGCAAAAAGACCCGUGCGUUGCAACGGGAGAAAAAAAUCACCAUCUUCAAUGGCAAUGACCAUAUUAUGUUCAUAUCUCAUCGCAUGAUUUCAAAAACUUGUUCACAAAUGUAAGAAAAUAUUUCUUUUAUUUUAUUUUAUUCACAAUUCACAAGUUGAAACAAUGUUCAUAUUUUAAAAAAAAUAUCAUGGUUAUCAAAAAACUUGGUAACUCAAAGAAUUAUUCUGAAUUUCAAGAAACAUUUUAAAAAAUAUAGUAUAAUAUUCCGAUCCAUCAUCACAAUUAAUUCUUCAAAAUUCACUCAGGUAUAUAAUCUGAAAGACUCAGAAGCAUUACUAUUGAACGCCAUACAUUCGAUCUUUCGUGAACAUUUUUACAAAUUUGGGAAUAUUUUUAAAAUCAAGAACAUUCUUUACUAUUUAUAAACAUUUUUUUAAAAUUACAAAUAAUAUUUUAUAUUACAAACUGUUUUCAAGUAUUUUCUUGGGAAUUGGCGAAUAAUUCAUUUUUUGAAUUAUCCAACAUUUUUUUAAUUGCAUUAAAGAAAUUGCUAAAAAUGAUGGACUUUUUUUAUUCACGAAUGUUUUCUCCAAAAUUACGAAUUUUUUAAUAUGCAAUUUUUUUUACAAAAAUCCUGAACAAUUUUUUGAAUUCGCAAACAUUUUAUAUUUUAUCAAACAUUUAUGUAAAUAUUUAUUUUUUAAUUUCGAAAGUUUUUGUUGAUUUAUUUGAAAUAUAAAAAAUAAAAAGUAACAGAUAAAUAUUAAUUAAAAAACUAAAAAAAAGGCACCUGCCCAUGGGCUGGCCCAAAUGGGCGUGGUGCUUAUUUUCCAACGAGCAGAGCGUAGUAUAGCUGGUCCCUAUGCUUGGGCCGGCCCAUGCGAGAAUUACCUGCAAAACGUUUUUUAUAACUUAUAGGUGGCAUUGAUGGGUAAUUUUAAAGAAUUUUAGAGGCAAUUUUAAUAACGUACCACAGAAGCAAUAGGUGCUUUAUUAAUAGGGAUAGAUUGCUCAAACGUACUUAGAGGUGACGAUUAGGUUUUCCACCUAGUUCGAGGGAUAUCUCCACACGUACUUCGAACUGAUAUAUUUUGACAACUUCUUUCCAAAUACGUCAUGUGAAAAAUGUCUUAUCUUUUUAGUUCUAGACCCUGCAUACUCGAAAACAAAAGCUCUCUCAUGUCUUAGAUCUAUUUAUAACUUUACUCAUAUGCACUAUAACCCGUAGCAAUUACCUUUGUUUACACGUAUGAGGAAUUAGCAUGUGUGUUUGUCCACGUUCUUCUUAUCUUCUUCCUUUGGCAGUUAGGCCAUCCAUUAUUGUUGGCAAUAACAUGGUUUAGGACAUCCAUUUCAAUGUGGUUGGUGUUAGACAUUGUAUUACGUAUACACAUGGUAUAUGUAUAAACCAUGUGUAUUACGAUUGUAGGCAUGCGUGUGUGGUUUAAACUAGGGAUAUCUUGUUAGGGUCUAUCUCUUGUGUUUAACCUUGUAGAUAGAGAUAGAUCCUAACUCCUUGUUGUAAUCUCCUAGGUCUUGUGCCUUUAUUAACACGCACGUGUCCCUGCUAAACGCAUACGCUUCAGGCCUUUCUAUUCUCACAUGGUAUCAGAGCCUAUCUCGUUGCAAAACGGUUUGAACAAUGUUAUGGUCUUGAUUAUGAGGAUACUUUAAAUCCCGUUGUUAAAGCCGCCACCAUCAGAUUGGUUCUGUCUAUAGCUGUCUCUAGGAAUUGGUGUAUGCGACAGUUGGACGUUAAGAACGCGUUUUUUGCAUGGUGUUCUGGAAGAGAAUGUUUUUAUGCGACAGCCACCUGGGUAUACAGAUUCAAGGUUUCCGCACUUGGUCUGUAAACUGGAUAAAGCUCUGUAUGGUCUCAAACAGGCUCCCCGUGCAUGGUACUCUCGCUUGUCUUUCAAGCUUCAGUCUCUUGGUUUUCAACCCUCCAAGAGUGAUACCUCACUGUUUUUUUAUUCUCGGAGAGGGGUGACUAUCUUUAUGCUCAUAUAUGUGGAUGACAUUAUUGUUACUAGUUCCUCUGUACAAGCAGUUGAAGCCCUCCUCAGUGAUCUUCGCAUGGACUUUGCACUCAAAGAUCUUGGAUCCCUCCAUUAUUUUCUUGGUAUUGAGGUAACUUCUACUGAUAAUGGUAUUGCUUUAUCUCAAGGGAAAUAUUUGCUUGAUUUGCUUCAACGAGUCAAUAUGAAUGGUUGCAAACCUGUCAGUACUCCUUUGUCUACUUCUGAGAAGUUGUCUUUGUUUGAUGGACAUCCUCUUGGAGAUGGAGAUUCUACCAACUAUCGCAGUGUUGUUGGUGCUUUGCAAUACUUAACUCUUACUAGACCAGAUAUUUGUUGUUCGGUCAACAAGGUAUGUCAAUUCUUGCAUGCUCCAACCUCUGUUCACUGGACGGCAGUCAAACGUGUACUUCGUUAUUUACAAGGCACUAUCACCCAUGGUCUGCGUAUAUCUAAGUCUCAUUCCAUGUUAGUCAGCGCAUUCUCUGAUGCAGAUUGGGCUGGUUGCCCUGAUGACAGAAAGUCUACUGGUGGUUUUGCUGUUUUUGUUGGUAGUAAUCUUGUGUCUUGGACUGCACGAAAGCAACCUACAGUUUCUCGCUCCAGCACAGAGGCUGAGUACAAAGCACUUGCUAAUGCUACUGCCGAGGUAAUAUGGGUAUAGAACCUUUUGACUGAGCUGGGUAUUCCUCAUCCUAAGUCUUUCUCCCUAUGGUGUGAUAAUUUAGGAGCUACAUACUUAUCUGCAAAUCCUAUUUUUCAUGCACGGACAAAGCAUAUUGAAAUUGAUUAUCACUUUGUCCGUGAGAGAGUGGCUCAGAAACUGCUACACAUACGGUUUAUUCCCACUGGUGAUCAAUUGGCUGAUGGCUUUACUAAACCUCUUACUCUUCGCCAGAUGGAAGUUUUUCGUCGCAAUCUCAACUUGGACAAGUUGUGAUUGAGGGGGAGUGUUAGACAUUGUAUUACGUAUACACAUGGUAUAUGUAUAAACCAUGUGUAUUACGAUUGUAGGCAUGCGUGUGUGGUUUAAACUAGGGAUAUCUUGUUAGGGUCUACCUCUUGUGUUUAACCUUGUAGAUAGAGAUAGAUCCUAACUCCUUGUUGUAAUCUUCUAGGUCUUGUGCCUUUAUUAACACGCACGCGUCCCUGCUAAACGCAUACACUUCAAGCCUUUCUAUUCUCACAGUUGGUUCGAAAAAUAGCAGUGGCCACCAAUCCAUGCCGAAAUUAGCAUCUCUAUCCCGGUACAUAAACACGUACGCGCCAGCAUGCAAAAAAUUCUAAACCACCCACUUCCACGUUAACCGACCAUGCACGCCGAUCAGCUAGUACCGGCGGUCGUCGCCGUCGUGGCCGUGUUGUGCCUGCUCAUCGCCGGCCGCGCGGAUGGCCAGGACGAGUACGUCCCUGCUACCGCGGGGAGCCAAGAGGUGGAGCCGCAGCCGGGGCUGCUGCCGGGGGCCUCCCUGGCCAAGGCGUUCACAGGCGGCUACUUCCCGCAGCAGCCCAAGGCCGAGCCGGAGCCGGAGCAGACGACCACGGAACCGGAGCCGGAGCCGGAGCAGACGACCAGGGAACCGGAGCCGGUCACGCCCACGCGCGACCAGGGCGAUUUCUACCGCACCGGCGUGACCCCGACCGCGCCGGAGCCGCCGGCGAUGCUAACCUCCCCAGAGACGUGGGAGAAGCCGUGGACGCCAUUUGUACCCAAGACGUCGGCGAUUGUUCCCAAGACGCCGACGUAUGUGCCCGAGACGCCGGCGUUUGUGCCCAAGACGCCAUAAUUACCAUGGGCCUUAAAAUUAUUCCCUCCAUCAUGGUUUAAAAGCGCGUGUUUGAAAAUUCUUUCGAACCUAUGUGGUUAUUGAUUGACUGUGAGAUGAGCUGAAAAAUAGCAUUCACAAUCAAAUGCAUAUAAAAGUAGUACAACGAAAUACUAAUUAGCUGCUAAGAGUAAAUUCAAUGCGCCUUAAACCUUGUUUAUUGUGAAAAUGCACGUAAAUUUAACCGUGCCUUCUAAACUGUGACGAAGGAAAUAUAAACGAUGU